This 241-nucleotide long non-coding RNA is filed under the name Elaeis guineensis (African oil palm). RNAcentral describes it as "long non-coding RNA (EGUI_LNC026867)". The record is from RNAcentral. Lineage: Eukaryota; Viridiplantae; Streptophyta; Magnoliopsida; Arecales; Arecaceae.
GUAUUUUCGUAAAUAAUUUAAAUUUAGUAUUAUUUUAAUAAUUAUUUUAAAAUUAAUUUUAAAUAAUUAAAAAAUUCGUAUUCAAUGGGCAUCCCAUCUGGAAGCACCGACCAGGCGAAUAAAGGACAUUUAAUAGGAUUGCUCUUUCUGCAGCCCCGAACACGGACAACUGAAUUAUUUCCUAUCAUUCCCCUCACAUGCAUCCAACCACGUCACCUAAAACGGAUAAGAACAGCGGAUA